UACGUAGGGUGCGAGCGUUAAUCGGAAUUACUGGGCGUAAAGCGUGCGCAGGCGGUUCGUUGUGUCUGAUGUGAAAGCCCCGGGCUUAACCUGGGAAUGGCAUUGGAAACUGGCGAGCUGGAGUGUGGCAGAGGGGGGUGGAAUUCCACGUGUAGCAGUGAAAUGCGUAGAUAUGUGGAGGAACACCGAUGGCGAAGGCAGCCCCCUGGGUUAACACUGACGCUCAUGCACGAAAGCGUGGGGAGCAAACAGG
RNAcentral lists this ribosomal RNA (253 nucleotides) under uncultured bacterium. RNAcentral describes it as "partial 16S ribosomal RNA". It matches the Rfam family "Bacterial small subunit ribosomal RNA", at positions 524 to 776 of the family's 1533-position model. The record is from RNAcentral.